GCAGCAGCCGCGGUAAAACGAAGGGUGCAAGCGUUACUCGGAAUUACUGGGCGUAAAGCGUGCGUAGGUGGUGGUUUAAGUCCGUUGUGAAAGCCCUGGGCUCAACCUGGGAAUUGCAGUGGAUACUGGGUCACUAGAGUGUGGUAGAGGAUAGUGGAAUUUCCGGUGUAGCAGUGAAAUGCGUAGAGAUCGGAAGGAACGUCUGUGGCGAAGGCGACUAUCUGGGCCAACACUGACACUGAGGCACGAAAGCGUGGGGAGCAAACAGGAUUAGAUACCCCAGUAGUCCCUGUCUCUUAUAC
Molecule: ribosomal RNA, 302 nt
Filed under: uncultured bacterium
Lineage: Bacteria
Description: partial 16S ribosomal RNA
Rfam family: Bacterial small subunit ribosomal RNA
Source: RNAcentral